Molecule: long non-coding RNA, 1045 nt
Filed under: Homo sapiens (human)
Lineage: Eukaryota; Metazoa; Chordata; Mammalia; Primates; Hominidae
Description: non-protein coding lnc-SELENOK-3:2
Source: RNAcentral
AAUAAUUUCUUCAAAGCCCAGACUUGCCGUACCCUAUGGCCUCAAGACUCUGCUCAGGAAAAUUAGCAAAGCCGUUCUCAAAACCAACCCACCGAACAUGACCCAGUUUGCAGCAGUUUAUUUUAAAGAACUUAUUAUGUAUAGAGAAGGGACUACUUCUCUGGAUGAAGUGGUCAGAGGGAACAGAAUCUAAAGUGCCUACACAGAUGGAAAAAUCUACAAAGACAAUGUAACCGGAACAGGAUGUAGUGACAAAACCACCCAGUUUCCAUCCAUUUAUGCUGAGCUAGGCACUGAGCAAACUGAAGCAGUUCGUGAUCUUUCUUCCAAACCAGCCACCCCUAAGACUACUACCCCACCCUCAUAACCAUCUCCAACAGCUGUUUCACCAGAGUUUGCCUAUGUCCCAGCUGACACAGCUCGGUUUGCUUCUCAGAUAUUAGCAAUGGCAGCAAGUGAAGCAGGACAACCACGACGAUAUUCUAACAUGUGGACCCCUUAUUGUCUAACUGAUAAGAAUCAACAAAGUCACCCAUCACUGCCACCUGCACCUGGGCCUUUUCCCCAAGCAACUCUGUCUAUCUAAUCCUAAGGAUCCACAGUUUCUGCAGCAUCCACCAACUUACAAGAUGAUCUCCAACUUACAAGAUGAUCGAAGAUAGUAAGACCAGUGCCCCACCUUUUAUCUUAGUAGGCUCAAAUGCUCAGAAAGCAAAGGAAUGGAAACCUCUUUCUGGACAUGCUGUUGUUUCAAAGUCAGAAGUUUUGAAGAGAUAUGCUGCAGUAUAAGUGCCCAUUGCUGUUCCUGCAGAUGAGAAAUUCCAGAAACUUACCUUAAGCCCCCAGAAUGCUCAUCUUGCUACAAGUGGACAAGAUGUCCCCAGGCCAGAAAGCCUUGUUUUUCUUUCUGUUGCUUUCUUAGUAGAAGGGGUAGCUUUAAAAAGUUCAGGAUCUGGUGACAAAUGUGCUCCCUUUGGAAGUUACAGUAUUGCUUGGGAGAUAACUGUGACUCAUGCUCACAAAGUUCGCAAAGCAGAAACUUAAA